CCUACGGGAGGCAGCAGUGGGGAAUAUUGCACAAUGGGCGCAAGCCUGAUGCAGCCAUGCCGCGUGUGUGAAGAAGGCCUUCGGGUUGUAAAGCACUUUCAGCGGGGAGGAAGGCGUUAAGGUUAAUAACCUUGGCGAUUGACGUUACCCGCAGAAGAAGCACCGGCUAACUCCGUGCCAGCAGCCGCGGUAAUACGGAGGGUGCAAGCGUUAAUCGGAAUUACUGGGCGUAAAGCGCACGCAGGCGGUCUGUCAAGUCGGAUGUGAAAUCCCCGGGCUCAACCUGGGAACUGCAUUCGAAACUGGCAGGCUAGAGUCUUGUAGAGGGGGGUAGAAUGCCAGGUGUAGCGGCGAAAUGCGUAGAGGUCUGGAGGAAUACCGGUGGCGAAGGCGGCCCCCUGGACAAAGACUGACGCUCAGGUGCGAAAGCGUGGGGAGCAAACAGGAUUAGAUACCCUUGUAGUC
Molecule: ribosomal RNA, 465 nt
Filed under: uncultured Klebsiella sp.
Lineage: Bacteria; Pseudomonadati; Pseudomonadota; Gammaproteobacteria; Enterobacterales; Enterobacteriaceae
Description: bacterial SSU rRNA
Rfam family: Bacterial small subunit ribosomal RNA
Source: RNAcentral